GCAACCUCUGCCUCCUGGGUUCAAGCUAUUGUCCUGCCUCAGCCUCCCAAGUAGCUGGGAUUACAGGCACGUGCCACCACGCCCGGCUAAUUUUUUUGUAUUUUUAGUAGAGAUGGGGGUUUCACCACGUUGGCCAGGCUGGUCUCGAACUCCUGACCUCCGGUAAUCUGCCUGCCUCGGCCUCCCAAAGGCCGAGGAUUACAGGCUGGGGUUACAGGCACGUGCCACCACGCCCAGGUAUGGCCAUUGUCAAAUCCUGUUUCUUUCUCACUCACCCAGACUGCAGACUAACACAGGUCUUGUCAGACAAUCCCUUACCAGGCCGCUCCAACGCGAGGAAAGGUAAGGUAGGAAGAAGCUGCGUUUAGAGGGAGGGGACUUGUGGGAAUGAUGCACCAAUAAUACACAAAGGCUUCAUUAGGGCACAUCAAUCCAGGAGUCCUUCACUUUAUAGUGUCCUUUAGGAACUUCUCCUGGGACUGAAUUCCUCUGGGCUAGGAUAGUCUGAGCUUUAGGGCAGCCCAGGAACUUCUUGGAAGAAGUGAAAGGCUCUUGAGUCUGUCAGUAUUUGUUUCCUUGCUCUUACAUACACAGUGCAAGAGUGCAUUCCCAAUACAUGCAACUCUUGAACUGUAACAAUGAUAAUGAUGGGUUGAAAGCUUACAAUAUUACAAAUGUCUCUAGUUUCCCCAGAAAUUUUUCUGUAAUUUGCUUUCCGUUUCUCCGUUGAUAUUUUGAAACCCUUAAAGAAAAGCCACUUGCACACUGGAUUUUGUUUCUGUUAGUAUAGAUCCUUCAAAUGACAACCUAGUGACAAAUGGAACUCUAGGACCUAAGAUCCAGGAUCUUACCCCUUCUCUCUCUCUCUUUUUUUUUCUUUUGAGACGGAGUCUUGCUCUGUCACCCAGGCUGGAGUGCAGUGGCACAGUCUUGGCUCACUGAAACCCCUGCCUCCUGGGCUGAAAUCAUCUGCCUCAACCUCCCGAGUAGCUGGGAUUACAGGCGUGCACCACCAUACCUGGCUAAUUUUUGUGUUUUUAGUAGAAAUGAGGUUUCAUCAUAUUGGCCAGGCUGGUCUUGAACUCCUGACCCCAGGUGAUCCACCCGCCUCAGCCUCCCGAAGUGCUGGGAUUACAGUUGUGAGCCACUGCACCCGGCCCCCCUUCUCCUUUUGAAUAUUAAUUCACAAGGCUUCUUCCUGUUGGCUACACCAAACAAAAUUGUAUCUAUUCUGUUUUUGUUUUUGUUUUUGUUUUUGUUUUUGUUUUCCAGUUUAGAAAACAUGGCCCUUUUAGCUGUAAUUAUAUGGCUGGAAGAAGAAACAAAGUUGUGAGCUGCAAUGGAGCUGAAUGUUUUUGUCCCCCCACCAAUCCCCCUCAAAAAACUCAUAGGUUGAAAUCCUAACCCCCAGUGUAAUAGAAAAUGGGGCUUUUGGGAGGUAAUUAGGUCAUGAGGGUAGAGCCCUCAUGGAGGGAUUAAUGACCUUAUAAAAGAGACUCCAGAAAGCUAGCUUGUCCUAUUUCUGCCAUGUGAGGACACAACAAGACAGUAGUCAUGUGCAGCCCAGAAGAGGGUCCGCACCAGAACCCAACCAUGCUGGGACCCUGAUCUCAAACUGGCAACCUGCAGAACUCUAAGAAAUGCCUCCUGUUUAUAAGCCACCAGUUUAUGGGACUUUGUUAUAAGCAGCCCAAGCUAAGGCAUAUGGGCAAUGAAAAUAUCAGAAUUGUUUGAAACUUUAAUCUAUUGUAAUAACUCCUUUCACAUUGUGUAUAAUACGUCGGUUUAACAAUAUGUAAUAAAAUUUUAAAACAAGGCAUCUAUUCCAAGAAUUAAUUAAUUAUAUUAAUUGAACAGACACUUACUAAUUCAUUCAACAAAUUGCUGAACACCUGAUAUGUGCCAGAUAUUUUUCUAGGUGCUGGAGAUACAGCAGUGAAAACAAAGAGCAAACCCUGACCCUUGUGAAGUGAAUUGUCAGGAGCUCAGCUGAGCUGGGAGAGAGAGAGCUCUCAGAGUAGCCGGUUACAGCAACAAGCCAGAGAUAAAAGAACCGAGCCUUUAAUCACUCACGGCAAUGGUAAAAGCAAGAGCUUAAAGCAGUUUUAUGGACCCUGAAGCAGGAGGGCAGCGGCGAGAGCUUGGAGUGGACAAGUCCUGGGUGAUGAGUCAGAGUAGGGGAAUGUAUCAUCAAGGUCUCCCUCCUCCCCGCAUAAGGAGGUCUUGGCAAAGGCAUCUGAAAAGGACGUCUACCCAAGGUCUGCCAGAGACUAGCAAUGAAGACUCUGGGGCCAGGAAUGUAAACAUAGGAAAAGCAUGACUGACCGGGAGAGCCUGAGUCCUUGACUGCAACUUCCUUCAGAGACCGUGACCCACUGGCUGUGCACCAAAUGUCUCUCAGAGAGCAGCAGCUUUCUGUAUGAGGUCUGCCAGGGUCUCACUCUGUUACCCAGCCUGGAGUGCAGUAGUAUGAUUAUAGCUCCCGGCAACCUCGAACUCCUCGGCUCAGGACCAACCAGAGAAAGCCAAAUAUGUAUCCUCAACUGACCACAUAGGAUGCCGUGCUUCCACUUAACCUGCCUCCAGCCAGCAACAUCAAAUCAGGGCAUACCUGAAGUCUUUCCUUUUUUCACAUUAUAAAGCUUUCACACUCUCCUGCCUGCCUUCCGAUCUCUGAAAAACACAAGUGAUGGUGGCUGACUGCUUU
RNAcentral lists this long non-coding RNA (2707 nucleotides) under Homo sapiens (human). RNAcentral describes it as "HSALNT0305249". The record is from RNAcentral. Lineage: Eukaryota; Metazoa; Chordata; Mammalia; Primates; Hominidae.